GAAGCCUGAUGCAGCGACGCCGCGUGAAGGAUGAAGGUCUUCGGAUUGUAAACUUCUUUUGUCGGGGACGAAAAUGACGGUACCUGAUGUAUAAGCCACGGCUAACUCCGUGCCAGCAGCCGCGGUAAUA
This 130-nucleotide ribosomal RNA is filed under the name uncultured bacterium. Its description in RNAcentral is "partial 16S ribosomal RNA". It matches the Rfam family "Bacterial small subunit ribosomal RNA", at positions 378 to 525 of the family's 1533-position model. The record is from RNAcentral.